This 254-nucleotide ribosomal RNA is filed under the name uncultured bacterium. RNAcentral's name for it is "partial 16S ribosomal RNA". It matches the Rfam family "Bacterial small subunit ribosomal RNA", at positions 524 to 776 of the family's 1533-position model. The record is from RNAcentral.
UACAGAGGGUGCAAGCGUUGUUCGGAAUUAUUGGGCGUAAAGCGCGUGUAGGCGGUUUUGCAAGUCGGGUGUGAAAGCCCUCAGCUCAACUGAGGAAGUGCGCCCGAAACUGCAGAUCUUGAGUACCGGAGAGGAUGGCGGAAUUCCCCAAGUAGAGGUGAAAUUCGUAGAUAUGGGGAGGAACACCAGUGGCGAAGGCGACUACCUGGCCUGUUUCUUGACGCUGAGGCGCGAAAGCUAGGGGAGCAAACGGG